CGAAGGGGGCGAGCGUUGUUCGGAUUUACUGGGCGUAAAGGGCGCGCAGGCGGCAGACCAAGUCAGGCGUGAAAGCCCCGGGCUUAACCUGGGAACUGCGUCUGGGACUGGUUUGCUAGAGAUCGGGAGAGGAGAGUGGAAUUCCCAGUGUAGAGGUGAAAUUCGUAGAUAUUGGGAAGAACACCGGUGGCGAAGGCGGCUCUCUGGACCGAUACUGACGCUGAGGCGCGAAAGCGUGGGGAGCAAACAGGAUUAGAUACCCUGGUAGUCCACGCUGUAAACGAUGUGUGCUAGACGUUGGGGAGCCUAGCUCUUCGGUGUCGCAGCUAACGCGGUAAGCACACCGCCUGGGGAGUACGGCCGCAAGGUUA
This 371-nucleotide ribosomal RNA is filed under the name uncultured organism. RNAcentral's name for it is "bacterial SSU rRNA". It matches the Rfam family "Bacterial small subunit ribosomal RNA", at positions 526 to 896 of the family's 1533-position model. The record is from RNAcentral.